UGAGGAAUUUUGCGCAAUGGACGAAAGUCUGACGCAGCAACGCCGCGUGAAGGAUGAAGGUCUUUGGAUUGUAAACUUCUGUUGAUUGGGAAGAAAGAAUUUUGGUUAAUAGCUGAAAUUUAUGACGUUACCAGUUUAGAAAGCCCUGGCUAACUUCGUGCCAGCAGCCGCGGUAAUACGAAGGGGGCAAGCGUUAUUCGGAUUGAUUGGGCGUAAAGGGUGUGUAGGCGGUGCAAUAAGUUUGUUGUUUAAUUUUCUGGCCUAACCAGAAGCAUGCAGCAAAUACUGUUGUACUAGAGUUUGGUAGAGAGAAGUGGAAUUCUCGGAGUAGCGGUUAAAUGCGUAGAUCUCGAGAGGAACGCCGAUGGCGAAAGCAGCUUCUUGGAUCAAUACUGACGCUGAAACACGAAAGCGUGGGGAGCAAACAGG
RNAcentral lists this ribosomal RNA (429 nucleotides) under uncultured bacterium. RNAcentral describes it as "bacterial SSU rRNA". It matches the Rfam family "Bacterial small subunit ribosomal RNA", at positions 355 to 776 of the family's 1533-position model. The record is from RNAcentral.